RNAcentral lists this ribosomal RNA (402 nucleotides) under bacterium S2-020-16S. RNAcentral describes it as "bacterial SSU rRNA". It matches the Rfam family "Bacterial small subunit ribosomal RNA", at positions 68 to 516 of the family's 1533-position model. The record is from RNAcentral.
GAAGCCUUCGGGCUUAGUGGCGCACGGGUGCGUAACGCGUGGGAAUCUGCCCUUGGGUUCGGAAUAACAGUGAGAAAUUACUGCUAAUACCGGAUGAUGUCGAAAGACCAAAGAUUUAUCGCCCGAGGAUGAGCCCGCGUAGGAUUAGCUAGUUGGUGAGGUAAGAGCUCACCAAGGCGACGAUCCUUAGCUGGUCUGAGAGGAUGAUCAGCCACACUGGGACUGAGACACGGCCCAGACUCCUACGGGAGGCAGCAGUGGGGAAUAUUGGACAAUGGGCGAAAGCCUGAUCCAGCAAUGCCGCGUGAGUGAUGAAGGCCUUAGGGUUGUAAAGCUCUUUUACCCGGGAUGAUAAUGACAGUACCGGGAGAAUAAGCCCCGGCUAACUCCGUGCCAGCAGCC